CAUUAUUAUAAAAAGAUGUUGCCUGGUGACCUGUCAGAAACCCAUCAUACAGAGUCAGCCAAAAUAAUGUUUACACACAUCAGGAAAAGAAAAACUAGCAUAAAUAUUUCAAUACCAAAUUUAUUCAGACAUCAUGAGAUUAAUAAAAGUUAUCUUUGGCCUCUACAAUUACAAGAGGUGCUCAAAGUGGUGGCCACUGGCUUCCAGACAUUUCUGUUGUGUUGUAGACGUCACUUGUUGAUGCUCCAUUCAUGAGGUAGCGCCAUCUGUUGGGAAAACAUCGUACAACAGGACACAGAGUUAUCGUGAUUUGAUCAAACUUAGAAAGAGGAAUCUAUAUGUGUAGAAGUACUUAAAUGAAAUAUUUAUAAAAGUUUUUCUUUUCCUGAUGUGUGUAAACAUUAUUUUGGCUGAUUCUGACUCUGUGAACUUAAUGAGAACAAAACUGUCAUUUAGUUGUUGCUCUGAAAGCUUCUUUAGUGAAAACCAGCUGGUGUUCUGCUUUGAAACAAACUGCUGUUGAGGUCUAUGUUUUUAGGUUUAACCCCACAGUUUCUGAAUGAACUGAUAGUUGUUUUUUUUCCUGAUCAAUGUGGACGUUAUAAUUGAUGGUAACAUUUACUGAUCAUAUAAUCAGCAUGACAAUAUAACAGUAGAACAUUCUGACCACGUGACUAAUGCUGUGUUGGUCCCUUUAUGCUGCUAAAACUCCUCUGACCCAGUGGUUUAUCAGAACCUCUGGGGAUCCUGUGGAUCCUGUGGAUUCUGUGGAUCCUGUGGGUUGCAGGGUGGGUCCUACCUAGACCAGGCUGAUCCUGGACCAUCCCACAGAUGCUCCAUCAGAUCUGGAUGUGGGGAGUGUGGAACCCAGAUGUUCAGAGGGAGAUGAUGCCACAUCUGGUCCAGCAGAUGGAAGGUCUUGAAGUUCUCUGACUGGCCUGGACUGAAGAUGGUCGUCUCACUGGAUUUAAGGUUCAGAUGCUCAGUAACAAACUCCACCAAUGAGCCAACAGGGAAGCUGUAGGUUUAUUAAAUGUUGCUAUGAAGGUUUCACUGUUUUUCUUUGUGGAUGCAAUGUGCUCCAACUGAAACUUGAAUUAGAACUUAGAAGUAAAUCCUUCCAUCUGAAAGGAUUUAGUUGCAUUAAUAACCUCAUAACAUUCUAAUUUUUAUUCCAGUCUUGGUUGGAAAUAGAAUCUCUGUAUUGAUUCAGGUAAAAACUGAACUUCACAGCAUGUUGGAGCAAAACAACCAGAUGAAAACUGUGAUGGUGUUGGAUUGUCAGACCGUAAUGUUGCAGCUCAAAGCAGCUUUUCUAUCUCAGUUCAUUCUGACAUUCAGCUAUGAAUCAACACAGCAGAUGGUGAUCCAUGCUGUGGAAAUCUCACAUCUCCUGAUUUAAUGGAGCUGCUUUGCACUUUUUACACUGUUUAUUCACCAACACUUUAUUUAAUGAAAGUCCCAUCUAGUUUUUAUGAGGAAUGUGAUGUUUUAAUUUCUCUGAAUAACUGCAGUCUAAUGGAAGAGCUGGAACUGUAACAUCUGUCCUGAUAUUGAUCAUGAAGUAUUGAUCAGAAUACUUAUGGUUAGCAGUCAUCCCUGAAGUUUUACAUUAAAAUCAUUACUUGUGUUGUGAACUUUGGUAAGAAGCAGAAACUUUAGCGUUGCCAUGGAUACAUGAGUGUUAAAUUCUGUCCAUGUUUCCAUUUUGGGAAAUUCAGUCCAUCAGAUGAGUUUGUUUUUACUGCCAGCUACCAUUCAGUCUGAGAUAUUAAGAAUAAAUAAAUGUGCAUAAUGUGGAAAUGAAGAGAUUUUAUUUUUAUUUAUUCCUACAGCUGCUGCAUGGAAAGUUCCAGAAUGUGGAGGAAUUUAGUCUCAUAAUCACAGACAAUAAAUAUUAUCUGAAAGUCAGGUUAUUGUUGUUUAUCAGCACAAUACAAAAAGAUUAAUGUUAGAAAUAUUGCAGUUAAGACUCUAGAAUAUCAUGAUUGAUGUAAAUUUACAUCAAUAAUAUGAAUGUUCAGGUUAAGAUUGUGCAGUGAUAUUUAUUCUGUAAGUUUAGCUGAUUAAAGUUUAUGACUCUGAUUAUUUAAAUUGACAUCAUUAUUCUAAUAUUUAGGGUCAGACCCUACAGUAUUGAGAUUAAGAAAUCAAAUAUUCUAUAAAAUGUAAAUACACUGAACUCAUUUGGAUAUAUUUAAGUGAGACUCUACAAUAUUAUGUGACACAAAUCUAUCUAAAUCCAAAUUUUAAUCAUUUUUCUCCAAACAUUUACUGGACUGAUUUAAACUUUAAAAUCACUCCUUUCUAAUCCUCUGCUGUACGUUCAAACCUGAGGCCUUAAAUAGAAACACACAAGUAUCUGAUUGAAGGAACUUCUGCAGAGUCCUGGUUCCAGAACAUGAUGAUAGAAUUAUAGACAAACUUUAACAAAAGCUGCCUGAGAGUUUACAGGUUUUUAUGUUGGAUUUCUUCAGUAAUUUAAUGAGAGUUAUCAGCAAAAAUCAAGUGUUCAUUUGAUGAACUUCAUUUCCUAAAACAUCCAGAAUUGGAGCUCGUAUCUUUGGCAGCUGUAAAGUUUCUGCUCCUUCAAAGUUCACAACACAAUGAAUGAAUUCCUAAAACACUCUCAAUGCUGGAGAGCGUUUGAUGCUGAAGCAGUGAGCAGUUUUUCUGUUUCUUCUCUGGAGAUGCACAAUGAGGGACGUCUGCAGCGACUGAGAAAGAGUCUCACCACAUCCUGACAUGAGGAAAAAGACUUUAUUGAAGACUACAAUGAGAAAAACUAUCAGACAGCAGACGGCUGCAUUCAAGGUGAGCUCUGAACAUUUGAUCUGGAACAGGAAUUCAAUGACGGCAGCAUGAGCUUCAUUUCAGUCUGUAGCUGCUGAAUUCAUGGAUGAAUCAUCUGGCACUAGAGAAGAAGACCAUCAAACAUCCACGUCAGCUGAUGGAGGUCCAAGAGUCUCACCCAACAAACAACCUACAGAAUGAAGACCUCCAAUCUGAUUGGACGGCCUCCUAUUCAGCCACAUGUGUGAACAAAUGCCUCUAAGCUGAUUUGUUUUCUAAAAUUUGUUUUCUGGAACCAGCUCCCAGUUUGGGUUCGGGAGGCGGACACCCUCUCUAUUUUUAAGACCAGGCUUAAAACCUUCCUUUUUGACAAAGCUUAUAGUUAGGGCUGACUGGGUGACCCUGACGGGGUGAGCUGGUUUUCAUUUGCACAACUGACUUCCCCUCUUGACGUCCCUUUAGUUUGCCCCUAGUUAUGCUGCUAUAGGCCUAGGCUGCUGGGGAACCUCUCUGGAUGCACUGAGCCCUUCUCUAACUACCUAUGUAUUUACUAUAUAUACCAUUAUUGCAUUACAUUCACUCUGUUUCUUUCUGUGUCCUUUCUCCGAGUGUCCCUGGUCCCAGAGCUGGAUGCUGGAUGCUUCAGAUGUGUGGCUGUGUUUUAUGGUCCUUGUGUCCCACCCCCCCACCUCUCUAUCUCUACCCCUCUACCUCCAUCCCUCUAUCUCUACCUUUCUACCUCUUCUGUCCCUCUCAACCCACCCGGCCAGCAGCAGAUGGGUCCCCCCACAUUAGAGCCGGGUUCUGCUCGAGGUUUUUUUCCCUGUUAAAAGGGUGUUUUCCUUGCCACUGUCUCCUUAGGGCUGCUCUGGGGGUCAGCCAUAUGGGUUCUGUAAAGCGUCUCGAGACAAUUUGACUGUAAUUGGCGCUAUAUAAAUAAAAUUGAAUUAAAAAAAUAAAUAAAUAAAUCUAGUUUAAGUCCUAA
This is a long non-coding RNA of Amphiprion ocellaris (clown anemonefish), 3778 nucleotides long. RefSeq lists it as uncharacterized. The record is from RefSeq and is a predicted model, not a curated record. The transcript is spliced from 2 exons. NCBI's taxonomy places the organism in Eukaryota, Metazoa, Chordata, Actinopteri, Pomacentridae.